This 73-nucleotide transfer RNA is filed under the name Trichosia lengersdorfi. RNAcentral describes it as "tRNA-Ala". Lineage: Eukaryota; Metazoa; Arthropoda; Insecta; Diptera; Sciaridae. The record is from RNAcentral.
AAGAAAAUAGUUAAAUUUAUAACAUUUAAUUUGCAUUUAAAAAUUAUUGAUUUAAAAUUUAUCAAUAUUCUUA